Triticum dicoccoides is the source of this 2767-nucleotide long non-coding RNA. RefSeq lists it as uncharacterized. Lineage: Eukaryota; Viridiplantae; Streptophyta; Magnoliopsida; Poales; Poaceae. The transcript is spliced from 11 exons. The record is from RefSeq and is a predicted model, not a curated record.
CUCCUCCCCCCUCUCUCUCGUUCCCCUCCCUCCUGCGCGCCUCCUCUCCUCCUGCCCACAUCGCCGCCGCCACCGCCACCCACCGCCUCGAACCACGCCGUCGGCAUCCAUCCACUGCUCCGGCGCUGUCCAGAUGCGACCCCUCCCCUUCUCUCCAUGGCCGCGAAUCCACCCCAGUAGCUCAGGCAGCGGUCUGAUCCGGCGACCCCUUCCUCCAACUCGCGCCGGACGUCACCCGGAGUGGAGAGGAGAGGCAGAUCCCGCUGCCACCGGCGACCUCCCUCCCUCCCUCCUCAUAUGGACGUACGGGGAAACACCGCCUGAAACCCUAGCCCCGCCCCUCACCCACCCAUGGAUGGACGGAUGGGGACGGGGUGACGACGGCGGCAGCUUCUUUACUGCCGCCGCGGCGGCGGCCCUCGACACCGAUGAAUGCUGGUUCUUCCUCCUCAUCCACGACGCCCAUCUCCGGCCAUGACGACCUCGGAUCUCCGGCCCUGGUUGCUCAGAUGUUGUUGUUCCUGCUGUAGGUGGAUGUGGUGAGCUCCAUCCCAUCUUUUUACCCUGCUGAAGCACAUACUGAUUAUGUGGAGUUUUUCGAACUGCCAGCUAUAAAGGUCACCGAAGAAUAGCGCAACAUGGAUUCAUAAACCCACGGUUGGUGGAUGGUGAGCUGUUGGUACUCAAUGGCAAGGUCAUCAAUAUGAAUUUGUGGUGGCUGGCAAUUAUUUUGGCUUGAGGCCCAGGGCGAGGCUGCCGGGCUCCGCGCCGAGGUCAAGCGCCUCCAGGGCCUCCUCGACAGCUCCGACCGUGACGCCAAUGGCCCCGGGGGCGCCGGUGGGGACCUGUCCACCGUGCACCAGUAGAAGCUCGCCCUCGAGGAGGAGAUCAAGGCCCUCAAGGCUUCCACCACCUCCACUGCCGCUGACAAUGAGGGGGUGGAGGAGGAGGCUGUCGCUCGGCCAAGGAAGGUCUGGCGGUGCCUCACGGGAAGGUGGCCACCUCUACCGCUGCUGGAGCCGCCACCACUGCAUCCAUCGGGGUGGUUCUCCUCAACCUCAAAAGGUAAUCUGGUGCUCCGAAACGAGGCGAUGGAAGUUUUUGCUCUGCUACUAUGUAUGGCUCGUAUGAGACUGGAUAAUCCUUUUUUUGUCGGUGGCGCUGUUAUUACUGGACUGGUAGUGUUAUGGAUUUACGUUCUGCUGGUUAGUAGCUUGAUUAAUCUGGAGAGUUGGGGUCCUGUCGUGAGCCCUUACCGUUUAUGCACUUUGCCUUGCCAUGGUAAUAAUAUGUGAAGACUACGGGAAAACCCAGCUAUUGGUUGAUCACUCGUGUUAUUGUUCUGCAUUCUGCAUUUUAUUAUGCUGCUGCAUCUUAUUUCUGUUCUUAUUUUAUAAUGGUAUGAACUUCUAUUUUGCUGCAAGAUUGAAGAGAUUCUUUUCAAACACAAUAUAUUUUAUGUUGUGGAGUAAGUUUAGCCACAACAUGGUCUCUAUUUUGUCAAUAUUCUGUAAUCAUUUAUGUUGUGGAGUAAGUUUUAAACAAAUUCAGUAGAGUUCUGAACCAUUGCAUCAGUAAGUUUUAAACAAAUUCAGUUGAGUUUUAAACAAAUUACUAGAUCAUUAAGUUCUGAAGCAUUGCAAAUUCUGAAUUUUUUUAUCGACGACGACGGCUCCUCCCAUCGAUGACGUGCCGUCUCCUGCAAGCCCCUCGCCUCCUCCUCGACUGGCGGCAGCGCUGACCCCGACGAGGAGCCCAUCCUGCACCUCCUCUAGGAACUAGCACUUGGUGCUCCCACAAGUAAUUUGGGCUUCUGUCUUGAUAUUGCUUCAAACAGAAUAGGCAAGCAGCAUUGUGAUGACCCCAAAAGGAUACACAAGAAUCCAUCAGAAUUCAAUAGCCGAUAGUCAUGCUGACAUGAUGGAUCGGGACGAACCAUUUGAUCCCAUAUUUAGCUGACCUAUGGGCAACCCAUUUGGUAUUUUGGAGCCAAAUUUUGUUGAGAGAGCCGCUGCUGGUUUCUUUGGUUGGGGACCUCAGGUUACACAUUGCAGGGAUGUGCGGCAGAUACCUAUCACACUAAUAAUCCUCAAACUGGAAGGACCAGGAGCAGCUGCAGGCUAUCACGGAACCAGUUCUCUCAUUUGUUCUGCAAUGCAGUAGGCACACUCCACAAUCUCAGUUCCUAAUCUUUGUUAUGCGCUGAGAGGAGGGAAGAAGGACAAUGCGGUCGCAGCCCUAUCGGCACCCUUCUCACCUGAUUCACCCGCAUCACGCCAUGCAGGUUGAACGUGUGCAAUCAAAUUGAUUUGAAGUAGAGCUGGAUCCAUGGUUCGUUUUUGUGUAUUGCUCUUUACUGUCAAGUCUGGAGUUGGUGGUUCUUGAGUGAGCUGCGGAAGCUACUACCGUCUGUUAUCUGCUCCAUCUGUGUGCUGACGAACAAGUUAAUUAGGUGGCUUGGUGUGUGCUUGUCGACCGCCAUGGCCGACGACUCAUCGUCCUCGACAUUACAUUCCUUUGCACAUGUGUUUGGCCAUCUUUUGGUGCAUGCGAUGGUCUUGUGGACUGCUGUGUUUGUUGUUUGUGAUUCAAGCCAUCACUAGCUACUGUGAUAUGUUGUGCAAACUACUGUCAUCUCUAAGAAUUAUGUAACAUUCUUUAUGUUGACUACAUAUUAGUUACACUGAUGCACUUUUGGUUCUGGAGCUUUAGCAGAACUAUAUGGUUUGCUUUUGCUAUCUAAAAACCCAACUAUAGUACUUGCUGA